RNAcentral lists this ribosomal RNA (253 nucleotides) under uncultured bacterium. Its description in RNAcentral is "partial 16S ribosomal RNA". It matches the Rfam family "Bacterial small subunit ribosomal RNA", at positions 524 to 776 of the family's 1533-position model. The record is from RNAcentral.
UACGUAUGUGGCACGCGUUGUCCGGAUUUACUGGGCGUAAAGAGCGCGCAGGCGGUCGUCCAAGUCGCGUGUGAAAGCCCCCGGCUCAACUGGGGAGGGUCACGCGAUACUGGUCGACUCGAAGGCAGGAGAGGGUAGUGGAAUUCCCGGUGUAGUGGUGAAAUGCGUAGAUAUCGGGAGGAACACCAGUGGCGAAGGCGACUACCUGGCCUGUUCUUGACGCUGAGGCGCGAAAGCUAGGGGAGCAAACGGG